ACGUAGGGGGCAAGCGUUGUCCGGAAUCAUUGGGCGUAAAGAGCGCGUAGGCGGCCCAGUAAGUCCGCUCUGAAAGUCAGGGGCUCAACCCCUGGAUGCGGGUGGAUACUGCUGGGCUAGAGUCCGGAAGAGGCGAGUGGAAUUCCUGGUGUAGCGGUGAAAUGCGUAGAUAUCAGGAGGAACACCUGUGGUGUAGACGGCUUACUGGACCAUGACUGACGCUGAGGCACGAAAGCGUGGGGAGCAAACAGGA
This 253-nucleotide ribosomal RNA is filed under the name uncultured prokaryote. Its description in RNAcentral is "partial 16S ribosomal RNA". It matches the Rfam family "Bacterial small subunit ribosomal RNA", at positions 525 to 777 of the family's 1533-position model. The record is from RNAcentral.